AGAGUUUGAUCCUGGCUCAGAAUGAACGCUGGCGGCAUGCCUAACACAUGCAAGUCGAACGAGACCUUCGGGUCUAGUGGCGCACGGGUGCGUAACGCGUGGGAAUCUACCCUUGGGUUCGGAAUAACUCAGAGAAAUUUGAGCUAAUACCGGAUGAUGACGUAAGUCCAAAGAUUUAUCGCCCAAGGAUGAGCCCGCGUAGGAUUAGCUUGUUGGUGAGGUAAAAGCUCACCAAGGCGACGAUCCUUAGCUGGUCUGAGAGGAUGAUCAGCCACACUGGGACUGAGACACGGCCCAGACUCCUACGGGAGGCAGCAGUGGGGAAUAUUGGACAAUGGGCGAAAGCCUGAUCCAGCAAUGCCGCGUGAGUGAUGAAGGCCUUAGGGUUGUAAAGCUCUUUUACCCGGGAAGAUAAUGACUGUACCGGAGAAUAGCCUGAUUCCCCG
RNAcentral lists this ribosomal RNA (446 nucleotides) under uncultured Sphingomonas sp. RNAcentral's name for it is "bacterial SSU rRNA". It matches the Rfam family "Bacterial small subunit ribosomal RNA", at positions 8 to 507 of the family's 1533-position model. The record is from RNAcentral. Lineage: Bacteria; Pseudomonadati; Pseudomonadota; Alphaproteobacteria; Sphingomonadales; Sphingomonadaceae.